RNAcentral lists this ribosomal RNA (465 nucleotides) under Vreelandella stevensii. Its description in RNAcentral is "partial 16S ribosomal RNA". It matches the Rfam family "Bacterial small subunit ribosomal RNA", at positions 338 to 795 of the family's 1533-position model. Lineage: Bacteria; Pseudomonadati; Pseudomonadota; Gammaproteobacteria; Oceanospirillales; Halomonadaceae. The record is from RNAcentral.
CCUACGGGUGGCAGCAGUGGGGAAUAUUGGACAAUGGGGGGAACCCUGAUCCAGCCAUGCCGCGUGUGUGAAGAAGGCCCUCGGGUUGUAAAGCACUUUCAGUGAGGAAGAACGCCUGGUGGUUAAUACCCAUCAGGAAAGACAUCACUCACAGAAGAAGCACCGGCUAACUCCGUGCCAGCAGCCGCGGUAAUACGGAGGGUGUGAGCGUUAAUCGGAAUUACUGGGCGUAAAGCGCGCGUAGGUGGCUUGAUAAGCCGGUUGUGAAAGCCCCGGGCUCAACCUGGGAACGGCAUCCGGAACUGUCAAGCUAGAGUGCAGGAGAGGAAGGUAGAAUUCCCGGUGUAGCGGUGAAAUGCGUAGAGAUCGGGAGGAAUACCAGUGGCGAAGGCGGCCUUCUGGACUGACACUGACACUGAGGUGCGAAAGCGUGGGUAGCAAAUAGGAUUAGAUACCCGAGUAGUC